Molecule: long non-coding RNA, 315 nt
Filed under: Elaeis guineensis (African oil palm)
Lineage: Eukaryota; Viridiplantae; Streptophyta; Magnoliopsida; Arecales; Arecaceae
Description: long non-coding RNA (EGUI_LNC046665)
Source: RNAcentral
GAGCCUUGGAUCUAUUCAGUGUUUCUCUCAUGGCCUCAAUCAUUAAUGCUGGGAGGUUUAGGGGGGUUUGGGUGAUCACAUGAAACAUGAUGCAGAUGUCUCGGCCUGAAAGGAGGUCAUGUCUACCACUUCUUGGGAAGAAAAGCUUUGUUACCAAUUGAUGUAGAAUCCUCAUUUCAAUGGACAUGAUCUUGGCUUCUAGUUUAUUUAGGCUUUCCGAGUAGGUUCCUCCUAAAAUCACAUUAAUUCCUUCUUCCUUCACUGGGAGUUCCAUGUUUGAAUAUCCCUCACAAGGCAAAUGAAGAAUCUCUCCCA